This 301-nucleotide ribosomal RNA is filed under the name uncultured bacterium. Its description in RNAcentral is "partial 16S ribosomal RNA". It matches the Rfam family "Bacterial small subunit ribosomal RNA", at positions 509 to 807 of the family's 1533-position model. The record is from RNAcentral.
CAGCCGCCGCGGGAAUACGAAGGGGGCUAGCGUUGUUCGGAUUUACUGGGCGUAAAGCGCACGUAGGCGGACUUUUAAGUCAGGGGUGAAAUCACGGGGCUCAACCCCGGAACUGCCUUUGAUACUGGAAGUCUUGAGUAUGGUAGAGGUGAGUGGAAUUCCGAGUGUAGAGGUGAAAUUCGUAGAUAUUCGGAGGAACACCAGUGGCGAAGGCGGCUCACUGGACCAUUACUGACGCUGAGGUGCAAAAGCGUGGGGAGCAAACAGGAUUAGAUACCCCCGUAGUCCCUGUCUCUUAUAC